Molecule: ribosomal RNA, 722 nt
Filed under: uncultured candidate division GN03 bacterium
Lineage: Bacteria
Description: bacterial SSU rRNA
Rfam family: Bacterial small subunit ribosomal RNA
Source: RNAcentral
UGUGUAAGAGGUGAAAGCUCACGGCUCAACCGUGGAACUGCCUUUGAAAACGCGUAGCUUGAGUCCGAGAGAGGAUGGUGGAAUUCCUGGUGUAACGGUGAAAUGUGCAGAUAUCAGGAAGAACACCGGUGGCGAAGGCGGCCAUCUGGCUCGGUACUGACGCUGAGGCACGAAAGCUAGGGUAUCGAACGGGAUUAGAUACCCCGGUAGUCCUAGCCGUAAACGAUGUCCACUAGGUGUCGGGGGUCCUACCCCUUCGGUGCCGGGACUAACGCAUUAAGUGGACCACCUGGGGAGUACGCUCGCAAGGGUGAAACUCAAAGGAAUCGACGGGGGCCCGCACAAGCGGUGGAGCAUGUGGCUUAAUUCGAUGCAACGCGAAGAACCUUACCUGGGCUUGACAUGCAGGGGACAGGUGUAGAGAUAUACCCUUCUUCGGACUCCUGUACAGGUGCUGCAUGGCUGUCGUCAGCUCGUGUCGUGAAAUGUUGGGUUAAGUCCCGCAACGAGCGCAACCCUUGUCCUUAGUUGCCAGCACGUCAUGGUGGGAACUCUAGGGAGACUGCCGGUGACAAACCGGAGGAAGGUGGGGACGACGUCAAGUCAUCAUGGCCCUUACGUCCAGGGCUACACACGUGCUACAAUGCAUCAUACAGAGGGCAGCGAACCCGCGAGGGGAAGCCAAUCCCAAAAAGUGUGCCUCAGUUCGGAUUGGAGUCUGG